This 497-nucleotide ribosomal RNA is filed under the name uncultured bacterium. RNAcentral's name for it is "partial 16S ribosomal RNA". It matches the Rfam family "Bacterial small subunit ribosomal RNA", at positions 28 to 507 of the family's 1533-position model. The record is from RNAcentral.
GAUGAACGCUGGCGGCGUGCCUAAUACAUGCAAGUCGAGCGAACAGACGAGGAGCUUGCUCCUCUGACGUUAGCGGCGGACGGGUGAGUAACACGUGGAUAACCUACCUAUAAGACUGGGAUAACUUCGGGAAACCGGAGCUAAUACCGGAUAAUAUAUUGAACCGCAUGGUUCAAUAGUGAAAGACGGUUUUGCUGUCACUUAUAGAUGGAUCCGCGCCGCAUUAGCUAGUUGGUAAGGUAACGGCUUACCAAGGCAACGAUGCGUAGCCGACCUGAGAGGGUGAUCCGCCCCACUGGAACUGACGCCCGGUCCAGACUCCUGCGGCAGCCCGCAGUAGGGCAUCUUCCGCCAUGGGCGAAUGCCUGACGGAGCACCGCCGCGUGAGUGAUGAAGGUCUUCGGAUCGUAGAACUCUGUUAUUAGGGAAGCUCAAAUGUGUAAGUAACUAUGCACGUCUUGACGGUACCUAAUCAGAAAGCCCCGGCUAACUACGUG